GACGAACGCUGGCGGCGUGCCUAAUACAUGCAAGUAGAACGCACAGUUUAUACCGUAGCUUGCUACACCAUAGACUGUGAGUUGCGAACGGGUGAGUAACGCGUAGGUAACCUGCCUGGUAGCGGGGGAUAACUAUUGGAAACGAUAGCUAAUACCGCAUAAUAUUAAUUAUUGCAUGUUAAUUAAUUGAAAGGUGCAAUUGCACCACUACCAGAUGGACCUGCGUUGUAUUAGCUAGUAGGUGAGGUAACGGCUCACCUAGGCGACGAUACAUAGCCGACCUGAGAGGGUGAUCGGCCACACUGGGACUGAGACACGGCCCAGACUCCUACGGGAGGCAGCAGUAGGGAAUCUUCGGCAAUGGACGAAAGUCUGACCGAGCAACGCCGCGUGAGUGAAGAAGGUUUUCGGAUCGUAAAGCUCUGUUGUAAGAGAAGAACGGGUGUGAGAGUGGAAAGUUCACACUGUGACGGUAUCUUACCAGAAAGGGACGGCUAGCUACGUG
RNAcentral lists this ribosomal RNA (505 nucleotides) under uncultured bacterium. RNAcentral's name for it is "partial 16S ribosomal RNA". It matches the Rfam family "Bacterial small subunit ribosomal RNA", at positions 28 to 507 of the family's 1533-position model. The record is from RNAcentral.